This 72-nucleotide transfer RNA is filed under the name Parcubacteria group bacterium. RNAcentral's name for it is "tRNA-Arg". It matches the Rfam family "tRNA". From Rfam's summary of the family: Transfer RNA (tRNA) molecules are approximately 80 nucleotides in length. RNAcentral also lists the same sequence under 1 other name. The record is from RNAcentral.
GCCCCUGUAGUUCAACGGAUAGAACAGGAGUUUUCUAAUCUCCCGAUGCGGGUUCGAUUCCUGCCGGGGGCG